Non-coding RNA from Chelonoidis abingdonii (Abingdon island giant tortoise), 4901 nucleotides. The record is from RefSeq and is a predicted model, not a curated record. NCBI's taxonomy places the organism in Eukaryota, Metazoa, Chordata, Testudines, Testudinidae.
GCCCUUUGCAAAGGGGGCUUUCUUGUCCCUUUUCUUGCCCUGUUCUUUCUCUCUUUUUCUCUCUGACCUCUUUUUUUUUUGUUUUUUUUUUGUUUUUUUUUACCUACACUGGUAUUGAAUGCUUUUUUAGUCACUUCUUUUUACCAUGUGCUUACUAAAUAGGCUCUGUCUUUGUAAAUUUCCUUUUUUAGCUGCCUGUGUUUUUCUUAGCCACCUUGAUAGUUUUUACCAUGUGCUUACUAAACAGGCUUUGCCCUAGUACAUUUUCUUUUUAAACCUAGUUUUUAAUGUUUUUAAAUGCUUUUUUUUCACCUACACUGGUAUUGAAUGUUUUUUUUAUUCACUUUUUUACCAGCUGCUUACUAAACAGGCUUUGCCUUAGUAAAUUCCCUUUUAAAACCUAUUUUUAUUGUUUUUAAUAUUAUUUAAUGUGUUAAAGACUCUUUUCUUAACCUACCCUGAUAGUAAAUAGUUUAAUUGUGUUUUUCUUAGCCACUCUUUAUAGUUUUUACCAGGUGCUUACUAAACAGGCUUUGCCUUAGUAAAUUUCCUUUUUAAACCUAGUUUUCAAUGUUAUUUAACUUUUUUCUUAACCCACCCUGAUAAUUAAUACACCUUUUAUAUUUAUCUCAAAAUUUUCUAUUCUUUAAUAGCAUACCAAACUAAUGGGGCAUGGAAACCUGUCAAAAAUGCAUGGUGAUGAAUACUACUCCUGUGUGUCCUGUAACAGCUUUUUAUAGUCUGUGCUCUGUUUUCCCACCCAGUUUCCUGUGCUGCGUUGGGCUACAGAGAGUAAAGCACCUGUGGAGGCUGAUCCCAAUGGUGGCAUGGUGCUGCUCAAAAAGGAGAAACCAGAAAUGGAGCCAAGAGGCCAGUGGAGUAAUAAAAUGGAGUUUAUGCUCUCCAUGGCUGGAGAGAUCAUCGGCUUGGGCAAUGUCUGGAGAUUCCCUUAUCUCUGUUACAAAAAUGGAGGUGGUGCCUUCUUUAUCCCCUACCUCAUCUUCCUCUUCACCUGUGGGAUCCCAGUGUUCUUCCUGGAGACAGCGCUAGGGCAGUACACCAGCCAGGGAGGGGUCACUGCCUGGCGGAAGCUCUGCCCUCUCUUUGAAGGAAUUGGAUACACCUCACAAGUCAUCGAAUCCUAUCUGAAUAUCUACUACAUCAUCAUCCUGUCCUGGGCUAUCUUCUACCUGUUCAGCUCCUUUACUGCUGUGCUUCCCUGGGCCACCUGUAAUAAUCCUUGGAACUCAGAUCGCUGCGUAGACUUUCUGAAUCACUCUAACAUGGAGAACUGGACAGCGCCUGCUAAUGCCACCUCCCCUGUUACUGAGUUCUGGGAGAAGCGAGUCCUGGGACUCACAGACGGUAUUCACAAUCUGGGCACUGUGCGCUGGGAGCUGGCUCUCUGCCUCCUGUUCGCCUGGGUCAUCUGCUACUUCUGCAUCUGGAAAGGAGUCAAGUCCACAGGCAAAGUUGUUUACUUCACUGCCACGUUUCCCUAUUUGAUGCUUUUUGUUUUGCUAAUUCGAGGGGUCACCCUGCCUGGUGCUGCUGAGGGGAUCAUGUUCUACCUGAAGCCAGACACUUCCAGGCUUACAGACCCACAGGUGUGGAUGGAUGCAGGCACUCAGAUCUUCUUCUCUUAUGCUAUCUGCCAGGGGUGCUUGACAGCUUUGGGCAGCUACAACAAGUACAAUAACAACUGUUACAGGGACUGCUUCAUGCUGUGUUUCCUGAAUAGUGCCACCAGCUUUGUGGCCGGCUUUGCUAUCUUCUCUGUGCUGGGCUUCAUGGCACAAGAACAGGGUGUGCCCAUUUCAGAAGUGGCUGAGUCAGGUCCUGGCCUAGCAUUCAUUGCAUAUCCAAAGGCUGUAACGAUGAUGCCUGUGUCUCAGCUCUGGUCCUGCCUAUUCUUCCUUAUGCUGAUCUUCCUGGGACUGGACAGCCAGUUUGUCUGUGUUGAGAGCGUGGUGACGGCCAUUGUCGACAUGUACCCAAAAGUUCUCCAGAGGAAAGGGCACCGGGAGCUGCUGAUCCUGGCCAUUGCAGGCAUAUGCUACCUGCUUGGGCUGAUGCUAGUCACUGAGGGUGGAAUGUACGUCUUCCAGCUGUUUGAUUAUUAUGCUGCCAGUGGUACAUGCCUACUGUUUGUGGCCAUUUUUGAAGCCAUCUGUGUUGGCUGGGUGUAUGGUGCGGACCGUUUCUAUGACAACAUCGAGGACAUGAUUGGUUAUCGGCCGUGGCCACUGGUUAAGAUGUGCUGGCAGGUUGUCACCCCUGGUGUCUGCCUGGCGACCUUCCUAUUUUCACUGAUCAAGUACACCCCCCUCAAAUACAACAACUGGUACACGUACCCUCUGUGGGGCUACGCUCUGGGCUGGUUGAUGGCUCUUUCUUCCAUAAUCUGCAUUCCACUCUACAUCAUUUUCAUUCUGCUGAAAACCAGAGGAUCACUAAAGAAGAGGCUAAAGGAACUCACUUCCCCAGCGGAGGACUUGCCUCAGCCAAAGAAGCACCGGCCUAGAGUGUCUGAACCAUUGGAGAGCCCCAAAGCAGAAUACAGGAUCUCAUCCCCAUCAGCCAAGGAAGUGCUCAUAAUCACAGAGAAGGAAACCCACAUGUAAAGCAUAUGGGAAAGGAUUUCGCCUUUGCAUUCUGGAGUGAUUUCCCCCUCUUGUUCCUGAGGUGGCUUCUCUUCACACCUGGGACAAUGCACUCUUCAUUUCUCCCCUGCACACCUGAGGCAGAGCCAUCCUAGUCAGUGACUCUGGGACAUCCUUCUUCCUCCCCAAGUUUAUCAGGUAGUUAACUAUACAGACUUGGGACAGCAGUUCUUUUGACACCCCUGAGACAGCUCUCUCCUUCUGCACCUGGGAAAGAGCAGCGUGACUUCACCAGAGGUGCUUUAGAGCCCUGACACUGAAAAAAGGAACAGUAGAUAUAAAAUAAUGGGGAAAGGGAAUUGCAAAGAGUAAAGAGGUUCAGAAGUAAAGUCAGGAAGGUAAAGGCACAAAAUGAGGGGGUGUGAGCAAAAGGAACAAGUUAAAUGGUUUAUAAGUACAUAAAAAGCAGGAGGCUGACAAAGGAAAGUGCACAGGUAGGUCACCUACAUACCAGGGAGAGAGAGCCCAUCACAUACUAAAGAAGCUGCAGUGCUGAGUAGCUCUUUGGUUUCAGCUGUCACUCAAAGGGUGAGUGACAAGAUACUUAACAUAAUCAUAGUUAAUGAGGAAAGAGAGAGACCAGACUCAGGAUGGAACAGGCUGAAGGAUAUCUGGGUAAUUUGUGCUAAUUCAAAUCAAUAUGCGCCAGUGAAAUUCAUCCUAAAGAGCAUGAGGCUAGCAGAGAGCUGGCGAUUCUUUUGGGGAGAGCCUGGAGUGCAGGGGAGGUCCCACAAUACUGGUCAAGAGUAAACAUAGACAUAGGGGCCAAAAGGGGCUCCAGGAAUUACACACGAGAAAGCUUAACUGCAUUGCCUGCAGCUGGCUAGAAGAAUCAACAGAGAUGUCGAUAGGCCUGUUUCCCUGCUACGCUGCACUUUGUGGCAUCAUUUACACCAGGGCAAGUGAUACCACAUCAGAAUGGUGCUUUUUACACCACUUUGCCCUGGUGUAAAUGACUGCACAUAGUGCAAUCAGGCUCAAAACCUGAGCGCCUCCAGGCAAAUACAUGAUAAAUAGUAAGGCAACGAAUAACCAAGAUGAGUUAAUCAGAAAAAAGUAAUGCCAAAGUAUCUUAAUCUUUUUCUUUGACAGGAUAAUGCCCAAAGGAAAUGCAGGGACAGGGCCAUCCUUAGGAUUUAUGGGGUCCUACGCAGUAUUAUUAAACUGGUGCCCCUAUGCCUGACUUGGGGCACAGCCACCACCCCGGCCCACAGACACCCAGAACCACACCCCCUCCCCAUUGCUGAUACACAUCGAGCUUCAUACACAGCAGAUGCUGCAGCAGCCCGGGCUUGCAGCCUUGGGGGGAGGGACGAGGCAGCAAAGGAUAACAAGCGGCCCGGCCUGCCUCUUGGCAACAGAGAGUCACAGUUCCCUGCCCUGUACACUCUUUCUUACACAGAACGCGCCAUGCCGGGGCAUUCGGCUCUGUGAAUACGGCCCCUGCCUAAGGAGACUGCAGCACGUGCUGGGUGUGUGGGAACUGACCUGCUCUUACCUGCUGUCCUGGUGAUGCCCCAAAUUUUUGGGUGUCCUAUGCAGCCACAUAUGCCUCAGGAUGGCCCUGAGGAGACUGGAGGGCCCAUCAGCCAUAUUACCUCAGCUCCAUGGCACGUAUAUUGGUACAUAGACUGUGUGACAUAAUAGCAGCCUAUUGAACUGAAGCACACACUGAACCAGAAAAAGAAGAGGAGCAAAUACUACACGCUGUGGGACUGGUUCUCCGUUGCACUGCACUUUGUGGGUAUGUCUGCACUGCAGCUGGGAGCGAGGCUCACAGCCCAUGGGGAGAGACCUUGUGCUGGUGGGGGUUAAGCUAGUGUGCUAAAAAUAGCAGUGAGGUCAUUGCUGUGCUGGCAGAGACUCAGACUAGCCAGCCCAGCUUGGAUCCUGUUUGAUUCCUGUCCAAGUGUGGCUGGCUAGCCUGAGUCUCUGCCCAUGCAGCAACAUCCACACUGCUAUUUUUAAUGCUCUACCUUGAGUCCCACUAGCGUGAGGUCUGUCUGGGAGGUUCGCUCCCAGCAACAAUGUAGACAUAACCUAUGUGGUCAUUGACACCUGUGCUGAGUGGGCGUAAAACACUAGCACUGAGGAAUGUGAGUGGAAAAUACACGUCUCUUGUGUGCAAUGCAGUAGCAUUUAGAUUGCUGUUGGGGGAUUAGCUUUUGCUCUUCUUGUGAAUGUCACUGUGCAGCUUUAUUGCUGAAUUAGCACAUUUUUGUGUUUAGUUUCCUUUCC